UAGGGAAUCUUCGGCAAUGGACGAAAGUCUGACUGAGCAACGCCGCGUGAGUGAAGAAGGUUUUCGGAUCGUAAAACUCUGUUGUUAGAGAAGAACAAGGACGUUAGUAACUGAACGUCCCCUGACGGUAUCUAACCAGAAAGCCACGGCUAACUACGUGCCAGCAGCCGCGGUAAUACGUAGGUGGCACGCGUUGUCCGGAUUUAUUGGGCGUAAAGCGAGCGCAGGCGGUUUCUUAAGUCUGAUGUGAAAGCCCCCGGCUCAACCGGGGAGGGUCAUUGGAAACGGGGAGACUUGGGUGCAGAAGAGGAGAGUGGAAUUCCAUGUGUAGCGGUGAAAUGCGUGGAUAUAUGGAGGAACACCAGUGGCGAAGGCGGCUCUCUGGUCUGUAACUGACGCUGAGGCUCGAAAGCGUGGGGGGCAAACAGG
RNAcentral lists this ribosomal RNA (429 nucleotides) under Gemmatimonadota bacterium. Its description in RNAcentral is "Gemmatimonadetes bacterium partial 16S ribosomal RNA". It matches the Rfam family "Bacterial small subunit ribosomal RNA", at positions 355 to 776 of the family's 1533-position model. The record is from RNAcentral. Lineage: Bacteria; Pseudomonadati; Gemmatimonadota.